Molecule: ribosomal RNA, 247 nt
Filed under: uncultured bacterium
Lineage: Bacteria
Description: partial 16S ribosomal RNA
Rfam family: Bacterial small subunit ribosomal RNA
Source: RNAcentral
GUUCCUGGCUCAGGAUGAACGCUAGCUACAGGCUUAACACAUGCAAGUCGAGGGGCAGCAUUUUAGUUUGCUUGCAAACUAAAGAUGGCGACCGGCGCACGGGUGAGUAACACGUAUCCAACCUGCCGAUAACUCUGGGAUAGCCUUUCGAAAGAAAGAUUAAUACCGGAUGGCAUAGGAUUAUCGCAUGAUAAUCCUAUUAAAGAAUUUCGGUUAUCGAUGGGGAUGCGUUCCAUUAGGUAGUUGG